CCUACGGGAGGCAGCAGUAGGGAAUAUUGCUCAAUGGGGGAAACCCUGAAGCAGCAACGCCGCGUGGAGGAUGACGGUUUUAGGAUUGUAAACCCCUUUUGUGAGAGCAGAUAAUGACGGUAUCUAAAGAAUAAGCACCGGCUAACUCCGUGCCAGCAGCCGCGGGAAUACGGAGGGUGCACUCGUUACUCGGAAUAACUGGGCGUAAAGCGUGCGCAGGCGGGCUUGUAAGGCAGAUGUGAAAUCCUGUAGCUUAAACACAGAACUGCAUGUGAAACUAGUAGUCUAGAGUGUGGGAGAGGUAGGUGGAAUUCUUGGUGUAGGGGUAAAAUGCGUAGAUAUCAAGAAGAACACUGAUUGCGAAGGCGGCCUACUGGAACACUACUGACGCUCAUGCACGAAAGCGUGGGGAGCAAACAGGAUUAGAUACCCGUGUAGUC
RNAcentral lists this ribosomal RNA (440 nucleotides) under uncultured bacterium. RNAcentral's name for it is "partial 16S ribosomal RNA". It matches the Rfam family "Bacterial small subunit ribosomal RNA", at positions 338 to 795 of the family's 1533-position model. The record is from RNAcentral.